RNA transcript from Scylla paramamosain (green mud crab), 3813 nucleotides. It is a transcript of the gene named serine/arginine-rich splicing factor 7-like, with no coding region annotated. The record is from RefSeq and is a predicted model, not a curated record. NCBI's taxonomy places the organism in Eukaryota, Metazoa, Arthropoda, Malacostraca, Decapoda, Portunidae. The transcript is spliced from 8 exons.
AUGGAGGAGGUAUUUCACGGUAUUCAAGGUCAUCAGUGAGUGUGGGAAGCCUGGUCCGCGGCCGCCACCUUGCAGACGCCGUAUUGAUUCUGCUUCUCUGAGAUGUCAUCAGAUUCAGAGGAAGAAAAUGGUGUGCAGCGUGAUGCAGAGGACAGUGAUGGAGGCAACUAUAGCCGCCACUCUCGGUCCCGCUCGCGCUCCCACUCCUCAGGCAGGACGCCCCCAAGGGAUGAUGACAUGGAUGAUGAUCAGCAUGGACAGGACCGGAAGGAGAAUGGGAUGAGGGGUGGAGGAAGUGACGAGUACAACUCAAAGAAGUACGACGGACAGAGAAACGCCAGCCGUUCAAAAUCCCCAGAGAACAAGGACGCCAUGGAGUGGUCUGCACCCCCCACGAUGGACGACAACAAGAGGGCCUCGCGCAGCCGCAGCAAGAGCAAGCCGAGGGAUCAGGAUGUAGCCAAGGAACAGAAGUCAAGCAGUAGCUCAUCCAAGAAGAAGUCGCGUUCAAGGCGGUCACGCUCUCGCUCCAGAAGCAAGAGAAGGUCACGGAGUCGGAGGCGCUCAAGGUCGCGUUCCCGCUCCUACAACUCUAGGUCCCGUAGAAGAUCCCGUUCUAGGUCACGGAGGAGGUCACGAUCACGGUCUCGCAGAAGAUCACGCACAAGGUCAAGGUCGAGGAGUGGCACACCUGUGGAUGGGGCGCGACUUCAUGUGGCUGAGCUGGAUGUAGACACCCGUAAACGUGAUCUUGAGCGUGUGUUUGAGAAAUACGGCCGGCUGAGGGAGAUCUGGAUGGCCCGCAACCCUCCGUGUUUUGCCUUUGUGGUGUAUGCUCACCAGAAAGAUGCUGACCGUGCUCUUAAAGAGACUGAUGGCAUCACAAUUGGCCACUGCCGCAUUAAGGUGACCCAAGCCAGGCCACGAGUGCGGGGAGGCCGGAUGAGAGGUGGCUAUGACCCCAACCUGCGCUGCUAUCAGUGUGGUGAACUUGGUCACUUCUCCCGCAACUGUACUGACACCAAGUUUGGCUACAAGCGGCCUCCCACACCGCCAGGCAUGGAGACGUCGGGGAAGCGAAAGGGCAAGUUUCCUUAGGUGCUGUGGGGCAAGGUUCCUUAGGUGCUGAGGGUGUGUUAUGGUUUGGUAAUGUGGUCAUUGGUUGGGUAAUGGGGAGAGGAAGCCGCUCCAGUGUAGUGCCGGAAUGAUGAUGGUGGUUCUGCGGGGCUCAGUGAUGGGAGAGUCACGUCCCCCCCCGCUCACUCACACACUCACUCCGCAUGAUGUAAGUCUACCCCACCACGCCAUCUCUCUCCUUUAGGUGAGGACUAGCGCAGCCUAUCCCAUAAAAGCUUUAGCCUUAGUCAUCUUGCAUCAGAGUUUUCUCUCUCGCACUCCCUCUCUCUCUCUCUCUCUAUCUGUCAUCCCAGACCCCCAAAUAGACUCACGGACAUACAUACGCACAACAUCAAAAGUUUUCCCCAAAGUAGCAGUGCUGCUACUGCUGUUAUCAUCCAGCUCCAUUGGCCCCCAUUUUUUCUCUCCAGGCAUUUAGUGCAUUAAUUUUACUCAUAAAUUUGCAGCAAGUCUCACUCAAGCAUUGCCUUUUCUCAGCCUGUCAUUGGCUCUUGCAUUUUAUUCUGUAUUAUACACUUCUUUUGAUAUUUUUGGUCACUUUAAAAGAAAUGGACAUGUUCUUUUCAUUUUUUUUGCUUUUGAUGAAAGUCUCACAUACAUUAUCAUGCUUUCUUACUUGUAUCCCAGUCUGCUUGAAUUUAUAAACACACACACACACACACACACACACACACACACACACACACACACACACACACACACACACACACACACACACACACACACACACACACACACCUGUUUAUUUCUAGAGAAAAAUAUCCAAAAACUCUGAGUUUCUUGUAAGGAGUUUAAAUAAUUAAUGUAAGAAUGUAUGACUAUAUUACUAUUAAUAUUUUAAAUCAUGUAAGUUGCAUCAAGUUUUGUUCUCAUUAUGGUAAACAAGUUAAAUAUUGAGAAAGUCAAGUUAUUGUUUUUAUCCAGUAUUGCAAGAUGAGUUUAUGAUUUAAUUUUUUGACAUGUGUUCCCUUUACUUGUAUGCCUAUGUUUGAUGUCUGUUUUUAUUACAUUGGCUGAGGUAUAUUGAGUGUAUUGGUGGUGGCAUUGUGACACUGGCUAAUCUUGCAGCCCCAUUAGUGCCUUGGUGGUGGGAAGUCUGGCAGUGGAGUCUUCACAACACCCUCACUCUCAUAGCUUUCAUUUGUCCCUGCCCUCCCCCAUCUAAUAGAAUGUCUGAAUCACAACCUUCUCUUAGUUUCACACAUUAAGAGUUAGUUUCUCAUUAUAUAUUUAUUUGUUUGUUUUUAUGGUUAGGGUUACACUCUAGGAUUAUUCUGUAGAAGCUUCUGUCAUUGCAUAUGGGUUGAUUGCCAAAUGCUGUAGGAUUUUCAAAACUAAACCGGCUGGGUUGAGAAUUCCCUUCAAAUUUCGGUGAUAAUGUUAUCUUAGAGUUCUGUCCCUUUGCAUUAAUGUCCUGUAGCUUGUUUUAGCCAUCAAUUACAACUUGAAUUGCUCAUUUAGAGGGGAACUUUCUGAUGAAUUUUAAGUACAUACACUUUGCCUGUUCUCUCCAUGAUCUUUCUGAAGUCACCUUCCUGUACAUUUAGUGGACUAUAUGUAGUAGAGGAUACUUCAUUCUGCUAUGUUUUAACAAUUUCUGUAUUAUUACGUAUUUCUUGAAGAUAACCUCACUCAUUGUUUGCUCCUACCUUUGCUCUUGGUCAUCUCAGGUUUAGUGAUGUACUUGGUCUUGCGUAAUGAAGGGUUGAUGGCAUUGAUUGAUUGCUGAACAAGUUACCAGGGCUCUUUAAUUCAUGCUCCUCAGCCCCCCCAAUCACAUAAUUUACCAAAAGCAAUCCCCGUUAUAGAAAAUAAAAAAUUUUUUACUUUUUUUGUGCUAUUGAAUAAUAUACUCAUUCACCAAUUAAUUUCAGAAAUGUGAUAUGGCGGGGUCCACAGCUUUAGGGUGUUGUAAUUUGAGUGGUGUGGUGUUAGUGUGUUACUCUUGUCCGGUGAAGAAGGCAGCAGUGGUGUGAUAUCCAACAUGGGACAUGGUGCUAAACGGACUACGAUAUGGGGUGAAGUCGCAUCCUGCUUUGGCAAACAAAAGUAGCCGUCACAUAUCCCCUUAAUUUUCAGAGUGAGGGAGAGUUACCACCCUCGACUUGUUUGAUGUGGAGGGAGUAGAUAUGGUCCCACCGCCGGGGACGCCACCGCUCACGCUCCAGGUCACGGUCUCGCUACCGCAGCCGCUCCAGGUCUCGGUCGUGAGGCCCUAGAGUUGUGGGACCAACUUGCCAAAAAGGACGAAGGUACACUGGACUGCCAGCGCCGACCUUCAGAGCAGUUGUGUCGGUGGUUCGUUGAAGGUGAAAUCCGGACUAUCAAUAAAUCAUUCAGUGGUAGAAACCCUCAGUUCUGUUUUGUCUGCCUAUGAUGUUAGUUGGCAAGUUCUAGCACAAAGAAAGAUUUAGAACCUUGCCUUCACUUGAUCACUCACUCUAAGACCGGUCAGUUUAAGAUUAUUAUGCCUGUUUCUGUCUUCUGUUUUGUUAAUCAGCUUGGGAACACCCAACUACACUUUUUUUCUUUUUUUUUUUUCCAGUUAUGCCUGCCUUUGAUUUUUCUGUUUGUAAGUUAGGAGUAUGUUUUUCAUGAUCAAUCACUAUGAGGUAUUGUACUUGAUGUAAGCAAUGAGAAUAUAAAGUAAAUAAAUAAAAAGUAACUACUGUCUUA